GAUGAAGAACGCAGCGAAAUGCGAUAAGUAAUGUGAAUUGCAGAAUUCAGUGAAUCAUCGAAUCUUUGAACGCACAUUGCGCCCGCCAGUAUUCUGGCGGGCAUGCCUGUCCGAGCGUCAUUACAACCCUCAGGCCCCCGGGCCUGGCGUUGGGGAUCGGCGGAGCCCCCCGUGGGCACACGCCGUCCCCCAAAUGCAGUGGCGGUCCCGCCGCAGCUUCCAUCGCGUAGUAGCUAACACCUCGCGACUGGAGAGCGGCGCGGCCACGCCGUAAAACACCCAACUCUUCUGAAGUUGACCUCGAAUCAGGUAGGAAUACCCGCUGAACUUAAGCAUAUCAAUAAGCGGAGGA
Molecule: unclassified non-coding RNA, 352 nt
Filed under: soil metagenome
Description: partial contains 5.8S ribosomal RNA, internal transcribed spacer 2, and large subunit ribosomal RNA
Rfam family: 5.8S ribosomal RNA (bases 1-120)
Source: RNAcentral